Long non-coding RNA from Symphalangus syndactylus (siamang), 541 nucleotides. RefSeq lists it as uncharacterized. The record is from RefSeq and is a predicted model, not a curated record. Lineage: Eukaryota; Metazoa; Chordata; Mammalia; Primates; Hylobatidae.
GGCCAGUGAAACCAGGGCAAACUCAUGGAUCAUCUGCGCUCCCAUCUUCACCUUGGUGGCAGCCCUACCUCUGAGAUUUUAAGGUCCACGGAAAGUGCAGGCUUCCAGGAGUGCUGUGGAGCAGAGCAGAGAGAGGAAGAAUGUGACGCUCUAAGCCAGGUUGAUCAAUUUCUGUGCUGUAACACAUGGCAUCUCCAAACAAAAGAACUUUUCCUCAGAGAACACCUUUGGAAUCUGCACCAGAAUUUUAACUCUGACUCCUUUGUUUCAGUUCUAAAUGAGAAUGUGCACACGCCUGUGUGACACAGGUCUGUAUCCCAUCUCGGCCCCUUUGCCUCUUCUUUUCUGUAUUGUCUCUGAAAAAAAAAUCUCACCCAUUUUUAGGGUUUCAGCUCCUUCCUCCUAAGGCACUUUGCAAAUAUGUUUUGCUAAUUUUUAUUUCUCUCCCAUAAUUCAGGAUUGCAACCUUUUUAAAAAUGAAUUUUUCAUUUAAUUUUCUUUCUUUAACUGAAUAACUAAUACAUGAGAUCACACUCACAAA